UUUAUUGUAGAAGUGAUUCUUUGACAGUAAAUCGGUUCACAUUAGAGAUGGGAAGUAUGUAUCUUAUCUAUGUUCUACCAUUCCAUUCACGUUUAUGUGUUGACAUAUUGAUGGUUAACUUGUGCACAGAUCGAUGCAGGUGUGAUUGUAUAGCUUCUACGGGUGAUUCUUUCAUCCGUAAUUUCUUCUACAGAUCAACCAUUUCUGCAGGUGUAUGUUCGAGUGUCACAAGUACGUAACUGGGAGGAAAGUCAUGCAGGAGACAAUUGUGAAAUGAUCUUCAUGUGAUAUUAUUGAUGAUUCAAGUGGUCAUGGUAUAUGUAGAUCAAGAUCAAGAUCAACAAGUUAUCUUGAAGCUAAG
Long non-coding RNA from Spinacia oleracea (spinach), 361 nucleotides. RefSeq lists it as uncharacterized. The record is from RefSeq and is a predicted model, not a curated record. The transcript has 3 exons. Lineage: Eukaryota; Viridiplantae; Streptophyta; Magnoliopsida; Caryophyllales; Amaranthaceae.